AAUUUCAACUAGACUUUUUAUUUUUACGUGAACAACUAAAAUUUUAAAAUAUAAUCUUUGUAAAAGGCUCCCUUUUAUUAAAUCUUCCUUGUACUGUAAUAUAAAAAUCCAACAGAUCUUGAUCCCCAAAGCCAAUAAUUUGUCCCAGAAGACUGACAAUAACAUUUAAAGUCUGAUAAGGGGAGGUAUGUCUUAUUAAAAAGUAAAAUUUUGUUUUAUUUUUCUUGUCAUAUCCAAGAUAGUCAUUAACUGUGGAUAUUAUAAGUCAAAGAAAAAAAUGACCAAAUGCAUCAUAGGGAGAUAAAACAUCUAGUUUAGUUAUCCUUAAUUUUACUAUUAGAGGAUGAGAAUUCUGAGGCAGGAAUAAGCACUACCUGGAGACUAGAAAUAGGUGAUCAGAGAGCUUGCCUGCAGUAGAUAGUGCCUAUGUGUUAUAUGUGCUUAAUUAUGGUUUAUUAAUUGAUUGAUUGGAUCUUAGCUCUUAGAAACAGAAGGAUUAGACAGAAGACUGCAAUACAGAGAAAAUUUGGAUGGGUAAAACAAAUCAUUAUAUUCACUUCCACUUUCCUCCUCUAUCAGAGCCCCGGUGAAUAAUGGAGAAUUAUAUGGCAAACAGAGGGAGGAAGCAAGAAAAACAAUGUGGCUGUUUUAGUAACCAGAGGCCUCUAACAAUUAUGGAAUUUCCCUUUUUCCUCUUUGUCUCCUGUCUUGAUUAGAAGGCUAAAGUAAAAUUAAAGUAUUGACAAGUAUACACACACUAUUUUAAGUGCACAUCUUGAGGCACAUAUAUGGAGAGUGUACAUAUAGGAAUAAGCAUGGUCUGGAACUAUUAUGGUGAUAAAAAUAAAAUUUUAGCAUUUCAUGUAUGAAUAUUAUUAAGACAUUAUCUGCUAAGCACCAUACUUAUUUAUUUAUAUACUUUUUGCCCAAUCAUGUUGAAGGGCAAUGCACUUCUCUUUCCAUCACAUUAUGUGCUCUAAGUAACUCAAUUCAUCUGAGGGUCACUGAGCUUCUCUGUGAUACUAUCUGUUGGUCUACAGCUAUUCAACAUUUUGAGGUUCAUUUGCUGCUGUCUGAGGAGUUUCUCCAUGGCAAGGUCCCUGGCUUCAGCCAUUAAUUUGAUUUCAGGUCCAAGUCAAACCUGUGUAAUUCAUCUUCCACUUGGUAGGCCUUUGUAUACAUGAAUAUAGUUACUAUGACACCACUAUUGCUGUAUUCAUCUCUAUGUUUAUCUUUUGGGAUUUCCAUCAAAUACUGAAUUGCAUGGUUUUCUACCAUUCUACUGUUCACUCUCAUUUGGACACUCCAGUUCAUUUUCCUAUUUCUAAAUUAAAUAGGCAGCUGUGAUUGAACAUAAUGUUUCAAAUGUGAUUUAAACAAUAUGAUAAUUAGGGGACCUAUAAAUUUCUGUAUUUUGAAUACUUGCUAAUAUUGAUUUAGUCUUAAUGUUAAAUAGCCAAAUAAUUCAUCACAUAGGUACCAGAUGUUAAUUAUCUGUGUGUUUACUUAGACUUAUAUUUGAAUUGAAGACAUAAUCUAACAUUAGAGUGAUAUUCAAAGCUCACAUAAAUUGGUAGAAUGUUCUAGGACUUAUGAUUGUUAUAGUCUAUGAAAACUCAGGAUCAUUUCCCUAUAAAAUUGAGGCAUUGGAAUAUAAUUGAAUUUUAUAAUCAUCUACUCUCAGACUUUCAAAUCUACAAUAGGAGAAAAUAUAUUUAUAGAAAAUUAUUCUAUGUAGUACAUGAAACAUGAAUGAUAGAAUUUCAAAAUAAAGUGUAAAGUGUCCUAAGAGAUUUAAGAUGA
Long non-coding RNA from Monodelphis domestica (gray short-tailed opossum), 1803 nucleotides. NCBI's taxonomy places the organism in Eukaryota, Metazoa, Chordata, Mammalia, Didelphimorphia, Didelphidae. The record is from Ensembl.